This 484-nucleotide ribosomal RNA is filed under the name uncultured bacterium. RNAcentral's name for it is "partial 16S ribosomal RNA". It matches the Rfam family "Bacterial small subunit ribosomal RNA", at positions 29 to 523 of the family's 1533-position model. The record is from RNAcentral.
AGUGAGCGCUGGCGGCGUGCUUAACACAUGCAAGUCGAACGAGAACGGAUUAUAGCUUGCUAUAAUUGUCAGCUAAGUGGCGCACGGGUGAGUAAUGUAUAGGUAAUAUGCCUCUUACUAAGGGAUAACAAUUGGAAACGUUUGCUAAUACCUUAUACUCCUUAUUAACAUAAGUUAAUAAGGGAAAGAUUUAUUGGUAAGAGAUUAGCCUGUAUUGUAUCAGUUAGUUGGUGGGGUAAUGGCUUACCAAGACUAUGACACAUAACUGGUUUGAGAGGAUGAUCAGUCACACUGGAACUGAGACACGGUCCAGACUCCUACGGGAGGCAGCAGUGGGGAAUAUUGCACAAUGGACGAAAGUCUGAUGCAGCAACGCCGCGUGGAGGAUGACACAUUUCGGUGCGUAAACUCCUUUUAUAUGAGAAGAUAAUGACGGUAUUAUAUGAAUAAGCACCGGCUAACUCCGUGCCAGCCGCCGCCGUAA